UCCCCAUAAGCGAUUCCUAAAGGACGAGU
This 29-nucleotide non-coding RNA is filed under the name Mus musculus (house mouse). Lineage: Eukaryota; Metazoa; Chordata; Mammalia; Rodentia; Muridae. The record is from RNAcentral.